This 350-nucleotide unclassified non-coding RNA is filed under the name soil metagenome. RNAcentral describes it as "partial contains 5.8S ribosomal RNA, internal transcribed spacer 2, and large subunit ribosomal RNA". The stretch from base 1 to 120 matches the Rfam family "5.8S ribosomal RNA", at positions 35 to 154 of the family's 154-position model. The record is from RNAcentral.
GAUGAAGAACGUAGCGAAAUGCGAUAAGUAAUGUGAAUUGCAGAAUUCAGUGAAUCAUCGAAUCUUUGAACGCACAUUGCGCCCACCAGUAUUCUGGUGGGCAUGCCUGUUCGAGCGUCAUUUCAACCCUUAAGCCCUGGUUGCUUAGCGUUGGGAGCCUACCGGACCCCGUCCCGUAGCUCCCCAAAGUCAGUGGCGGAGCCGGUUUAACACUCCAGACGUAGUAGCUUUUACACAUCGCCUGUAGCCUAAGCCCGGCGCCCUGCCGUAAAACACCCCCCAAUGUAUAGGUUGACCUCGGAUCAGGUAGGAAUACCCGCUGAACUUAAGCAUAUUCAAUAAGCGGAGGA